Molecule: ribosomal RNA, 253 nt
Filed under: uncultured bacterium
Lineage: Bacteria
Description: partial 16S ribosomal RNA
Rfam family: Bacterial small subunit ribosomal RNA
Source: RNAcentral
UACGUAGGGUGCGAGCGUUGUCCGGAAUGAUUGGGCGUAAAGGGCUCGUAGGCGGUUUGUCGCGUCGGGAGUGAAAACCAGGUGCUUAACACCUGGCUUGCUUUCGAUACGGGCAGACUAGAGGUAUGCAGGGGAGAACGGAAUUCCUGGUGUAGCGGUGAAAUGUGCAGAUAUCAGGAGGAACACCGGUGGCGAAGGCGGUUCUCUGGGCAUGAUCUGACGCUGAGGAGCGAAAGUGUGGGGAGCGAACAGG